GGGUCAGUAGGUUGGUCGUGCCACCGGUACGUACUGGCCUCACUGAUUCCUCCUUCCUGAAGAACCGUAAUGCCAUUAAUUUGGUGUUGCGGGGAAACAGGACUGUUACUUUGAAAAAAUUAGAGUGUUUAAAGCAAGCUAACGCUUGAAUACAUUAGCAUGGAAUAAUGAAAUAGGACGAUCGAUCCUAUUUUGUCGGUUUCUAGGAUUGACGUA
RNAcentral lists this ribosomal RNA (216 nucleotides) under Glomeromycotina sp. Its description in RNAcentral is "partial small subunit ribosomal RNA". The stretch from base 40 to 216 matches the Rfam family "Eukaryotic small subunit ribosomal RNA", at positions 686 to 864 of the family's 1831-position model. Lineage: Eukaryota; Fungi; Glomeromycota. The record is from RNAcentral.